Molecule: ribosomal RNA, 951 nt
Filed under: Loma lingcodae
Lineage: Eukaryota; Fungi; Microsporidia; Glugeidae
Description: SSU rRNA
Rfam family: Microsporidia small subunit ribosomal RNA
Source: RNAcentral
UGACGUGGAUGCUAGUCUCAUAGGUUAAGCCAUGCAUGUGGAAGCGAAGCCUUUUAUGGUGGAGCGGCAUACGGCUCAGUAACGGGCGAUCGAUUUGAUCUGCCUAUACGGACAUCCUCUGUAAACGGAGGGUAAGACGUAAGGGGGGCUUCCUUACGGAAGUUCGCCAAACCUGUAAAGGUGAGGCAAAGUAAGAAGCCAUCCCAUCAGUUAUUAAGUAGGGUAAGGGCCUACUUAGACGAAGACGGGUACGGGGAAUUAUCGUUUGAUUCCGGAGAGGGAGCCUGAGAGACGGCUACCGGGUCCAAGGACAACAGCAGGCGCGAAAAUUACCGCAGCCUGCGAUCAGGGCGGUAGUAAGGAGACGUGAUGACGAAGUGCUGAUAAAAGCUGCACUAGUGACAGGAGGAAAAGACUGGUGCCAGCACCCGCGGUAAUACCAGCUCCUGGAGUGUCUAUGAUGAUUGCUGCAGUUAAAGAGUUCGUAGCCGAGGCAUUAUUUAACUGCGUUAAAGGGGAUAUCUCAAUUAUCCCUGUGCGCAGUGAUUUUGCAGAAUAAGGAGUGCUUAGGGGCCAGAGUAUCAUACGGCGACUGGUGAAAUGGGAUGACCCGUGUGGGAGUAACAGAGGCGAAAGCGCUGGUCAGGGGCGAGUCCGAUGGUAAAGGACGUAGGCUAGAGGAUCGAAGACGAUUAGAGACCGUUGUAGUUCUAGCAGUAAACGAUGCCGAUGUCGUGGUGCCGAAUAAUGGCGAUGCGAAAGAGAAAUCGAGUAGGGCCCUGGGGAGAGUACACGCGCAAGCGAGAAAUUUAAAGGAAAUUGACGGAAGAACACCACAAGGAGUGGAGUGUGCGGCUUAAUUUGACUCAACGCGGGACAACUUACCGGGCCCGACGACCGUAUGAGUGUAACACACGAUAGGUCGAAGAGUGGUGCAUGGCCGUUAACGAC